Molecule: ribosomal RNA, 525 nt
Filed under: Triticum aestivum (bread wheat)
Lineage: Eukaryota; Viridiplantae; Streptophyta; Magnoliopsida; Poales; Poaceae
Description: partial small subunit ribosomal RNA
Source: RNAcentral
AUGGUGCCUGAACUACCUAUUCUAUUACCUUUUGGGAAGCCCCAAAGCCACAUCAAGCCCUAUGCUAUGGGUCAAGAAAACGCGUAUACAUCUGGCUUACCGGUCAUCUCCCAUUCCCGUCGUCGAGAGACUAAAAGAACUAUAGCAUGCCAGAAACGGGGAGUUGAGGUGGUUAGACCUAUACCCCGAAAUGCUCCCGGCAUAGGAGCCUAUGGUUCCAUUCUUGUUAUUGCUGGAGUGGCAUACAACUUUGGACCUAAGGGCUGGUCCCGUUACCUUUCGGAAUGGGGGAUCCCCGUUGGCAACAACCACGGUAGUAGUUGCGGAACUACUGGGCCAAGAGAGGACAACCUGUUGUUCCUGCUCCUCCUUCUUCGCUUCGGGGACGGAGGUCCUACGGUAGGUAAGAGCACGCACAAGCACUUGACCGAAGGGGACCAGCGCUUCUACUCCUCCACCGAGGAGCCGUUCUUGCGAGAAGCAAGGGAUGUCGUGAACGGUGGGAGGUCAAAGAAAGAGAAUUGA